RNAcentral lists this ribosomal RNA (254 nucleotides) under uncultured bacterium. Its description in RNAcentral is "partial 16S ribosomal RNA". It matches the Rfam family "Bacterial small subunit ribosomal RNA", at positions 524 to 776 of the family's 1533-position model. The record is from RNAcentral.
UACGGGGGGAGCAAGCGUUGUUCGGAUUUACUGGGCGUAAAGGGCGCGUAGGCGGCCACCGCAAGUCGACUGUGAAAUCUCCGGGCUUAACUCGGAAAGGUCAGCCGAUACUGCGGGGCUAGAGUGCAGAAGGGGCAACUGGAAUUCUCGGUGUAGCGGUGAAAUGCGUAGAUAUCGAGAGGAACACCUGCGGCGAAGGCGGGUUGCUGGGCUGACACUGACGCUGAGGCGCGAAAGCCAGGGGAGCGAACGGG